RNAcentral lists this long non-coding RNA (1125 nucleotides) under Accipiter nisus (Eurasian sparrowhawk). RNAcentral's name for it is "lncRNA (ENSANIG00000004404.1)". The record is from RNAcentral. Lineage: Eukaryota; Metazoa; Chordata; Aves; Accipitriformes; Accipitridae.
AUGGAUACUAAUCUGGUUAAUAUGCAAUUAGUUACUCGACAUAACCGGUCAGUGCUAAAGCCGUGCCAUGCGCGCGAGGCGGAAUUAUCCCCCGUGCACCCAGCGCUGCAGCAAAGAACGCUUCCCAGAGCUCCAAAACGAGCCUCAGCGAGUUUCUCCGACCGGCUUUCGGCAUCAGCAGCACCGGCGCAGGAGGGCACAAGCAAGCAGGGACCCCCGCCGCCCCGUACCUUCUGCGUCAUGCAGUCGGCCACGCCGAGGUCCACGCAGAGCCGGGGCCCUGAAGCCUUGGCCUCCAGCAGACGUUCCUUCACGACGGCGGCCGAGGCCCUCCCGCCAUCCCGGCGGGCAGCCCCUGGGAGGCAAAGCAGAGGAGAUGGCGGACCGAGCCCCGGCUGGGCCCCCUCCCUACCCCCGCCACCCCCUCCACCGGGGCCGCUCCGCGUCGCUCCGUGGCCCUCACCCGGUCCCUCGGCCCGCCGGGCCCUGCUCUUCUCCCGUUCCUGCCGCCGCUUCCACCUCUUGGCCGCCAACACCCGCUCCCAGCGCCUCCGCUUCCGCAGCGCGUUCCUCUGUGGGAGCAGCGAGGGGGGGGAGUGUGUGUGUGUGUUGUGUGUGUGCUUCAGGGCCGCGACCCUCCGCCCAGCCGAACACGGCGGCGAGGCGACGGCGAGGAACCGGAGCGGAGCUGAGGGGAGCUCGGCCCGUCCCGCCCCGCCGCAACCUACCGAGCACCGCGCCGCUCCUCCCUCCCGCUCCACGCCACCGGGGCCGACGGCCGAAGGGUCGAUCCGCAGCAGCCGCAGGGCCUCGCAGGCCACCGCCGCCUCCGCCGACGAACAACCGGCCUCAGCGGCCCCGCCGCCCGCCAUCACCGCCGGCUCGAUCCCUUCCAGGGCGGAGCGGUGCGUGGGCGGAGACGUGAGGGGGGUUUCUCCCGGGAGCUACGGCGCGGCCGUGGAGGAGGACGUACCGGGAGAAGGCGCGACGGAUUUCCCCCCCCCCCGGCCUGUACCGGCCACACCGACCCUGCUCCGGAGGCCGGCGGAGGGGAGGACGAGCCAUGUUGAGCGGCUCCCUGCUGCGCGGCCUGCGGCUGCUGCCCGCCCGCCCGGCCGUGAGUAG